CCCUCCACCUCCUCAACUCUUGUUCUACACCCAAUUUCCCUUCCUUGGCCUUUUCAGCCUUGUCCAUUGCAAUUUUUAGCGCUUCCUUUCUUGCAGCCAUCUCUUUAUUCACUUCUUCCAACUUCUCUGCAAUUUUUAACUCACACUCCUUAGCGAUCUCAAUUUGAGCAAUUGCAGCUGCCACCCUUCUGUUAGCCUGCUCCUCUGCCUCAUGAGCACGUUUACUCAACUCAUAGUACUCCUCUAA
RNAcentral lists this unclassified non-coding RNA (247 nucleotides) under Hevea brasiliensis (rubber tree). The record is from RNAcentral. Lineage: Eukaryota; Viridiplantae; Streptophyta; Magnoliopsida; Malpighiales; Euphorbiaceae.